This 253-nucleotide ribosomal RNA is filed under the name uncultured bacterium. RNAcentral describes it as "partial 16S ribosomal RNA". It matches the Rfam family "Bacterial small subunit ribosomal RNA", at positions 524 to 776 of the family's 1533-position model. The record is from RNAcentral.
UACGUAGGGUGCAAGCGUUAAUCGGAAUUACUGGGCGUAAAGCGUGCGCAGGCGGUUAUGUAAGACAGGUGUGAAAUCCCAGGGCUUAACCUUGGAACUGCAUUUGUGACUGCAUAGCUAGAGUACGGUAGAGGGGGAUGGAAUUCCGCGUGUAGCAGUGAAAUGCGUAGAUAUGCGGAGGAACACCGGUGGCGAAGGCGGCAUCCUGGACCGGUAUUGACACUGAAAAGCGAAAGCCAGGGGAGCAAACGGG